GACGAACGCUGGCGGCGUGCUUAACACAUGCAAGUCGAACGGAAAGACCCUGCUCUUGCGGGGUGCUCGAGUGGCGAACGGGUGUGUAACACGUGGGUAACCUGCCCCUGAAUAUGGGUUAACUUCAGGAAACUGUGGCUAAUACCGGAUAGGAGCUCUUGCUGCUUGGUGGUGGUUGGAGAGUUUCGGCGGUGGGGGAUGGACUCGCGGGUUAUCAGCUUGUUGGUGGGGUAGUGUCUUAGCAAGGCUAUGACGGGUAGCAGGCCUGAGCGGGUGACCGGCCACAUUGGGACGGAGCUACGGCCCAGACUCAUCCGGGAGGCAGCGGUGGGGAAGAUUGCACAAUGGGCGGAAGCAUGAUGCAGCACCGCCGCGUGCGGGAUGACGGCCUUCGGGUUGUGAACCGAUGUCGCCUGUGACGAAGAGUGAGUGACGGUAAUGUGUAAAGAAGCACCGGCUAACUACGUG
RNAcentral lists this ribosomal RNA (468 nucleotides) under uncultured bacterium. Its description in RNAcentral is "partial 16S ribosomal RNA". It matches the Rfam family "Bacterial small subunit ribosomal RNA", at positions 28 to 507 of the family's 1533-position model. The record is from RNAcentral.